GGUUCUCCAAAUAGGACCUCUCGGCGGGACUCAAAACGGGCUGCUAAGCGGAAUGAGCUGGCAUCUUCAGGCUUUUCUAGUUGCACAAGAGUACGUGAUUAGUUGGCAUCCUCAGCAUUUCUAGUUGCACAAUACCAUCCGACUAGUUGACAUCCUCAGUCCUUUUGUAGCUGCGUUGACACCCUCAGCAUUUUCUUCUAGAAGCCUGGAACCUGAAUGUGCACUUUUUUUGAUUGGUCAUGCAAGUGCCGAAUAUUUCUUUUCCCAAGAGUAUCUAAUCAAUUGGCAUCCUCAAGAUUUAUAGUUGCACAAGAGUAUUCAAUUAGUUGGCAUCCUCAGCCUUUCUACUUGCACAAAUAGGCCUUUCUAGUUGCACAAGAGUAACUAUUUUUUAGUCCCAUCUUCAAAUUUUUGAGAGUUUCCCAAGAGUAUCUAAUGACUUGGCACCCUCAGCCUUUCUAGUUGCACAGGAGUAUUUAAUUAGUUGGCAUCCUGAGCAUUUUCUAGUUACACAAUAGCAUCUAACUAAUUGACAUCCUCAGCCUUUCUAGUUGCACAAGAGUAACUAUUUUAGUUGGCAUCCUCUGCAUUUUGUAGUUGCACAACUAACAUAAUAUCAAGUUGGCAUCGUCAACCUUUUUUAUCCAGUUUUUCUGAAGAACAACAAAUAUUUUGUAUGAAGUGUUAACUAAUCACCUUUGGCACAUUUUGUUUGCAAAACCUCAGAUGAUCACGUUGGAAUGUGAUUACCUUUGGCACCUUUUUCUGAUGACAGUAAAUAGAAUUUCAUCUUCUUUUCUGUUUCACUUUUAGUAUAUAGAACAUCCUAUAAAACAUAUUCCCCCUAUUGCAAUUCGUGUGAGACAAGACUAUUUGUACGCUCAUUUUUAAUAUUGUUAUUGUGCUUUUUCUAGUCUGAUUUCUUUGUUGCACACAUUUACAGCAAAAGUUGGCUUCGGAUACAAGUUUAGCUUCACAAUUAUAUGUUUAUAUUUGCACAGACAACAAAUUCAGUAUUUCUUAGUUCCUAAAAUCUUAAAAGUGCACGCACACUAUUUGGCAAGAGCGAGCGGCCAGCUCCUAGCCGCACGAUCUCCUGGUGUCGUCGCGAGUCCCACCUGGAGGUGCUACUUGGUCGGGGAGACACUCGCUACGCGACACACGCUUAUCCUCUCGGCCUUUUUUUCUAGACCGAUUCCCUCCGUGGCGGUGCCCCUGCUUCUCCCCUUCCAAUCCAUGGUGCCGCCUUGCUCCUCUCGUUCCCUUCCUUCCGAUGGCGCCGCCCUGCUCUUCCCCGUCCUCCCCAUGGCGCCACCCUUCUCUUUCCCUUCCUUCCAUGGCGACGCCCUGCUCCUCCACUUCCUCUCCAUAGUCGAUGAUGCUGCUGCAGAUGGCGGGGCCAAGGACGACAGAGCAACUGCCGUAGAGGGCGGCUUCUGCGGCACGGCCAACUGCCUAGUAGUUGAUGUGCACGCCAACUUCCUAGUAGUUGAUGUGCAACUUUCCCCCUCCCCGUGUUUGUGUUUCAUUGUUUGCUGCAUCGGCCAACUGUCUAGCAGUGGAUGUGCAACUUCAGAUACUGCCACGGCCAACUAUUUUACGAGUGAUGUGCACCUUUCCCUCAUACCCCGUGGAUGUGUAAUUUCCCUACUAGCACCCGGUCCAAACCACCCCUCUAGUACAAUGUGCAACUUAAUUUAGCGCCCUGUUUAUAUGGAACUUUUCACUACCCUCAUGAAUAUAUGACUUUUCACUACCCCUCGUGAAUGUGGAAUUUUCACGAUCCAACUGUCCCUGCCUGUGAGAUGUGCAACUUCAUAUGUUGCUCCGGCCAACUGCCUAGCAGACUUUGUGCAACUCCGUUUGUUGCCCCCGCCAACUGAAACUGCAUAUCCACAAGUAGGGAGGGGAAGGAGUUGCACAUCGAGUAAUAGGCAGUUGGCUCUAACAACAGACUAAGUUGCACAUAUCGCUGAUAGGAGAGAUGGAGCAGGGUGUGUCAACUAAAAAAAACUACACAUCCACGAGUAGGGACAAUGGUUGCACAUCGACUACUAGAUAAUUGUUUGGAGGAGUAGACUAGUUGCACAUCAAGUUGUCAUGGUUGCUAGGUGGCAACCUCAUAUGAAGUUAGAUCAUGCAGCUCCAAAAACUGGUUUCGAAAAAAGUUGCACUAUGUAGUACUAAAGUUGCACAAUGCAGUACUGAAGUUGCACCAUAUAGCAUCAAAGUUGGCAUCAAAAAAAAUUCAUCGAAACAUAUCCAUGCGAGAUCUAGUUUUAAAGAUCUCGCCGCGAAGAAUCCAACGGAGAAGACGGAUCUAAAUUUUGAUGCGCGGUUUGGAAGAUAUGGCUUUUUCAAAAUUUGAAAACCGAAACAAAUGCACGUGUGAUAUGUUUUUCUCAACUGAUGUGACCGAUGUGAAUGCAUUAAAUGUCAAAAGAGACAUGCACUAGCGGACAAAAAUUACACACAUGCAUGUCGCAAUCCCUAAAUAGUGCGCUAAUAAGAAUCCAAGUUACAAAAUUAGGGGAUAAAAAAAAUUCUAUUUUAGGCCGGCCGCUCGCGCAGGCCAGCGAGCAGCCGGCCGCUACGUAGACUCGUCCAUUUCUCUUUUUACUUAUAUAUAUAAAUAAUUAAUCUUUUCUUUUGAAAAGUUAAAUGAUUUUGGUAGGGUUCACGAUGACGGUGAGGAGCUGAGGACAGAAGGGGCAUUGGACAUGGGGGGUGGAGAAACCGCGUUGCGGCGUGCGCCGCGCAACGAGCGCGGUGGGCACGGCGGUGUGUGUGUGCUGCUGGCCGCUGCCGGUGCCACACCCGUCCUGCCGGCUAAUCGUCUCAUCACGCCACGUCGCCUCUUUUCCUUCUAUAUAAUCUCUCUUCUCUUGGAGUCGCUGCUGCUUCUCGAGAAAGCCAUCUCUUUUUUUUCCGGUUUCUUUCUCCUUCCAUGAGGACACUGACCGUGGCCCUGUGGCAGUCAUUCUUCUUGCUUCCCAAGCUAGCCAGGUGGCCCUGUGGCAGUCAUUCUUCUUGCUGCCCAAGCUAGCCAGGGCUGCCUUGUGAAUCCAGGCGUGUGCGUCAAGCCGAGGUAAGGAGCUGCAAAUAUUUAUGUAUGUAAUAAUUUCACCAGAUCCUAACUGCUCGAUCCGUAGUUUAAUCAGCCAGCAGUUUCCUGCAACGAUGACGAGUAAACUAAUCACGGUGCUCGGCAUCAGCUUGUUUUGUGCAUAGGGUAGGCCGUACGGAAUAACCAACAGAAUGUACUUACUCCAGUAAGCAUGGUUAGCAAGUGGAGCAUUGUUAUGCGGCGCUGUGUGAACAGCAUUCAGUUGAUAACGUUGGAUACUGACUCGGCACGACGGCGACACUGUCCUGUCCUGCCUGGCACACAUGGACGCUCCUGUCGUCUUGCUCUCAUCGUUGCUUCAACACAAAGAAAAGGAAGAA
This 3447-nucleotide long non-coding RNA is filed under the name Triticum aestivum (bread wheat). Its description in RNAcentral is "long non-coding RNA (TAES_LNC000106)". Lineage: Eukaryota; Viridiplantae; Streptophyta; Magnoliopsida; Poales; Poaceae. The record is from RNAcentral.